RNAcentral lists this ribosomal RNA (457 nucleotides) under uncultured bacterium. Its description in RNAcentral is "bacterial SSU rRNA". It matches the Rfam family "Bacterial small subunit ribosomal RNA", at positions 43 to 527 of the family's 1533-position model. The record is from RNAcentral.
CAGGCCUAACACAUGCAAGUCGAACGAGGUAGCAAUACCUAGUGGCAGACGGGUGAGUAACACGUGGUCAACCUGCCUUUGUGAGGGGGAUAACUAGCCGAAAGGUUAGCUAAUACCGCAUACGAUCGCUCUGGGGCAUCCCUAGGCGAUGAAAGGAGCAAUCCGCACAAAGAGGGGACUGCGUCCCAUUAGUUAGUUGGUGGGGUAAUGGCCUACCAAGACUCCGAUGGGUAGCUGGCUUGAGAGAGCGACCAGCCACACUGGAACUGAGACACGGUCCAGACUCCUACGGGAGGCAGCAGUGAGGAAUUUUCCGCAAUGGGCGAAAGCCUGACGGAGCGACGCCGCGUGUGGGAUGAAGGCCUUCGGGUCGUAAACCACUGUCGAAGGGGACGAUAUUGACGGUACCCUUGGAGGAAGCCCCGGCUAACUACGUGCCAGCAGCCGCGGUAAUACA